Molecule: long non-coding RNA, 1322 nt
Filed under: Homo sapiens (human)
Lineage: Eukaryota; Metazoa; Chordata; Mammalia; Primates; Hominidae
Description: HSALNT0347853
Source: RNAcentral
GGAUGCCUGAGAACAGCUUCAGGACUACUCCUACAAUUAAUCAAGAUGGAGUCUCGCUCUGUCACCCAGGCUGGAGUGCAAUGGUGCAAUCUCGACUCACUGCAACCUCUGCCUCCCGGAUUCAAUCGAUUCUCAUGCCUCAGCCUCCCGAGUAUCUGGGACUACAGGUGCCCAUCACCAUGCCCGGCUAAUUUAUGUAUUUUUAGUAGAGAUGUUGAGACCAUGUUGGCCAGGCUGGUCUUGAACUCCUGACCUCAAGUGAUCCACCUGCCUCAGCUUCCCAAAGUGCUAGGAUUACAGGCAUGAGCCACUGUGCUCGGCCUAAAAAUAGUUUUAAAAGUACACUGUUGAAGAAAAACUCUUAAUAAAGACAUGAAUUUUUGUAACAGCAUAUGAUAUGAACACAGUUUGCAGAAUGAAUACAUUUUCUUCAGAGUUUAAAACUCUUCAGUCAUUAUCUCUUUGUUCACGUGGUCACAAAGCAUUCUAUUGGCCACAACUAAACCAGUUCCUUCUUUUUAAAAAUAAUACAGAUGGACCUCUUUGGGGGAUGGUUUUAAUAUUGCCUGUCUGCCAGGAAGGAGACUCCUCAAGGUCUCCUUUGUCCUUCUGAUUCAAGAUGAAUUAUUUUUUUCUAGAAUCUUUUAAUUCAAUUAUUCCAGAAGUAAAUUACUUUAUAUUAACAAAUAGAAACACAACAAACAAACACCAAGUUCUCCUUCGUUGCUUUGAAAAUUUUUUUCUCCCAGUUACACGGAAGGAUCUCUAGUUCUUUCUGAUACACAGUACAAAGAUUCACAUGGCCUAGCUUCACGUCCCUUUAUUAUUUCAUAGACUUCAGUAAAUUCUGCUCCUAUUCUUCUUCUUUUGAGAUUUAUUAAUACCAGCUUUUAGUCAUCUGUAAACCCAUACAGGCUGGCUGCAAGCAUUCCUGUUACCCUGGUCUGGAGCUUUUCAAUCUGUUAUAUGUCUUUUGGGGUGAAAGGUUCACAUCUAUAAUAUUUCUGUUUUGUUCAUGCUGAUGCAAUAGAAUUUUAUAACAUACAACAAAGAGCUAGAAUCUGAACACCAGCAUAUGUAAAAUUAUGUUAAGAGAAAAGGGCAAAUCCCAGGACCACUGUAAGAGGCAGAGUCUAAGAGGCCCCAUUCUCGAGCCAUCUAUCUCAUGGGAGUACUUUUCCAAUUAAUUGGAAUAAUAUGUCACUGAAAUUGAACAACAGAAAUCAUCUUUGCUCUCUAAAACCAUGAAAAUUAGAUAUUUUGUACAAAAAGUAAGUAAAAAGGAGGCUUGUUAAUUAACAAUUUAGCAGAAUCAUUUCAAG